This 275-nucleotide ribosomal RNA is filed under the name uncultured bacterium. Its description in RNAcentral is "partial 16S ribosomal RNA". It matches the Rfam family "Bacterial small subunit ribosomal RNA", at positions 399 to 691 of the family's 1533-position model. The record is from RNAcentral.
GCGUGAGUGAAGAAGGCCUUCGGGUUGUAAAGCUCUUUCGGCGGGGAAGAUGAUGACGGUACCCGCAGAAGAAGCCCCGGCUAACUCCGUGCCAGCAGCCGCGGUAAUACGGAGGGGGCUAGCGUUGUUCGGAAUUACUGGGCGUAAAGGGCGCGUAGGCGGCGCGGCGAGUUGGGUGUGAAAGGCCCGGGCUCAACCCGGGAUGUGCGCUCGAUACUGCCGCGCUGGAGUCCGGGAGAGGAUGGCGGAAUUCCCAGUGUAGAGGUGAAAUUCGU